Molecule: unclassified non-coding RNA, 2074 nt
Filed under: Pseudosphromenus cupanus (spiketail paradisefish)
Lineage: Eukaryota; Metazoa; Chordata; Actinopteri; Anabantiformes; Osphronemidae
Description: partial contains 12S small subunit ribosomal RNA, tRNA-Val, and 16S large subunit ribosomal RNA
Rfam family: Bacterial large subunit ribosomal RNA (bases 669-2074)
Source: RNAcentral
UAAACAUUGAUAGAUUAUUACAUCCACUAUCCGCCAGGGUACUACGAGCAUCAGCUUAAAACCCAAAGGACUUGGCGGUGCUUAAGAUCCACCUAGAGGAGCCUGUUCUAGAACCGAUAAUCCCCGUUCAACCUCACCCUUUCUUGUUCUUCCAGCCUAUAUACCGCCGUCGUCAGCUUACCUUGUGAAAGACCAACAGUAAGCAAAAAUGGCACAGCCCAAAACGUCAGGUCGAGGUGUAGCAUAUGAAAGGGGAAGAAAUGGGCUACAUUUUCUAAAAUAGAAAAUCACGGAUAACACAUUGAAACAUGUAUUUGAAGGAGGAUUUAGCAGUAAGUUGAAAAUAGAGUGUUCAACUGAAACUGGCCCUAAAGCGCGCACAUACCGCCCGUCACUCUCUCCGAAUAAAAACUUAAAAAUAACUAAAAACUCAUAAUUACAAAGGAGAGGCAAGUCGUAACAUGGUAAGUGUACCGGAAGGUGUACUUGGAAAAAAUCAAAGUGUAGCUAAAACAGAAAAGCAUCUCCCUUACACUGAGAAGUCAUCCGUGCAAUUCGGAUCACCUUGACACUUAAUAGCUAGCCCCCCCCAACUAAACUCAACAUAUCACUAUUUAUAAACCCUUAAACCCUAUAAACUAAAAAUAAAUCAUUUUUCCCCCUAAGUAUGGGUGACAGAAAAGGAACUCAGGGCGCAAUAGAAAAAGUACCGCAAGGGAACGCUGAAAAAGAAAUGAAAAAACUAAAUAAAGUAAAAAAAAGCAGAGACUAGCUCUCGUACCUUUUGCAUCAUGAUUUAGCCAGAAACUUAUAAGCAAAGAGCACUUUAGUUUAAUUUCCCGAAACUAAGUGAGCUACUCCAAGACAGCCUAAAAACAGGGCAAACCCGUCUCUGUGGCAAAAGAGUGGGGAGAGCUUUGAGUAGCGGUGACAGACCUAUCGAACUUAGUUAUAGCUGGGUGCCUAAGAAAUGAAUAGAAGUUCAGCUUUUUGGGUUCUCCUUUCCACUCAACUUCAAGCUUUCAACCGAUUACUGAGAAAACCAAAAAAGUUAUUUAAUGGAGGUACAGCUCUUUUAAAUAAAGAUACAACUUUUUAAGAUGGAUAAAGAUCAUAAUAAACAAGGCUAAGUGUUUUAGUGGGCUUAAAAGCAGCCAUCUAGAAGAAAGCGUUAAAGCUCAAACACACAAGAAAUCCUUAAAUCCCGAUAAUUAAUCUUAUUCCACUGAAUUUAUUAGGCCAUCCCAUGCUCACAUGGGAGAGAUAAUGCUAAUAUGAGUAAUAAGGGGAAAGACCCCCUCCCUAGCACAUGUGUACAUCGGAACGAACCCAUCACCGAAAUUUAACGGCCCCAAACAAAGAGGGUAGUGGACAACAAAUAAAUAACAAGAAAAUCACCCAAAAACAACCGUUAAACCCACACUGGUGUGCAUUAAAGGAAAGACUAAAAGAAAAAGAAGGAACUCGGCAAACACAAGCCUCGCCUGUUUACCAAAAACAUCGCCUCUUGCAAAAACUAAGAAUAAGAGGUCCCGCCUGCCCUGUGACAAAUGUUCAACGGCCGCGGUAUUUUGACCGUGCAAAGGUAGCGCAAUCACUUGUCUUUUAAAUGGAGACCUGUAUGAAUGGCAUCACGAGGGCUUAACUGUCUCCUUUUUCCGGUCAGUGAAAUUGAUCUCCCCGUGCAGAAGCGGGGAUAAAAACAUAAGACGAGAAGACCCUAUGGAGCUUUAGACACCAAAGCAGAUCUUGUUAAAAAUACCAAAAUAAAGGAAUAAACCAAAAUGAACCCUGCCCUAAUGUCUUUGGUUGGGGCGACCGUGGGGAAACACAAAACCCCCAUGAGGACUGAGCACACUGUUCUCACAACCAAGAACUACAGUUCUAAGCAACAGAAUUUCUGACCACCAGAUCCGGCCAUGCCGAUCAACGGACCGAGUUACCCUAGGGAUAACAGCGCAAUCCUCUUUUAGAGUCCAUAUCGACAAGAGGGUUUACGACCUCGAUGUUGGAUCAGGACAUCCUAAUGGUGCAGCCGCUAUUAAGGGUUCGUUUGUUCAACGAUUAAAGUCCU